GCCUACUUAGCUUGGAAGGUAGAGCGCCUGUCUUGUAAGCGGUAGGUCGCGAGUUCGAUUCCCGUCCGGGGCG
This 73-nucleotide transfer RNA is filed under the name Diaphorina citri (Asian citrus psyllid). It matches the Rfam family "tRNA". From Rfam's summary of the family: Transfer RNA (tRNA) molecules are approximately 80 nucleotides in length. Their secondary structure includes four short double-helical elements and three loops (D, anti-codon, and T loops). The record is from Rfam by way of RNAcentral. Lineage: Eukaryota; Metazoa; Arthropoda; Insecta; Hemiptera; Psyllidae.